CAGAGGUCUCAAGCGUUGUUCGGAUUCAUUGGGCGUAAAGGGUGCGUAGGCGGCGCGGUAAGUCGGGUGUGAAAUCUCGGAGCUUAACUCCGAAACUGCAUUCGAUACUGCCGUGCUUGAGGACUGGAGAGGAGACUGGAAUUUACGGUGUAGCGGUGAAAUGCGUAGAUAUCGUAAGGAAGACCAGUGGCGAAGGCGGGUCUCUGGACAGUUCCUGACGCUGAGGCACGAAGGCCAGGGGAGCAAACGGGAUUAGAUACCCCGGUAGUCCUGGCAGUAAACAGUGCACGUUUGGUGUGGGAGGAUUCGACCCCUUCUGCGCCGGAGCUAACGCGUUAAACGUGCCGCCUGGGGAGUACGGUCGCAAGAUUA
Molecule: ribosomal RNA, 372 nt
Filed under: uncultured organism
Description: bacterial SSU rRNA
Rfam family: Bacterial small subunit ribosomal RNA
Source: RNAcentral